GGGCCCGCACAAGCGGUGGAGCAUGUGGUUUAAUUCGAUGCAACGCGAAGAACCUUACCAGGGUUUGACAUCCUGCGAAUCUCUUGGAAACGAGAGAGUGCCUUCGGGAACGCAGUGACAGGUGGUGCAUGGCUGUCGUCAGCUCGUGUCGUGAGAUGUUGGGUUAAGUCCCGCAACGAGCGCAACCCACGUCUUUAGUUGCCAGCAUUUAGUUGGGCACUCUAGAGAGACUGCCGAUUAUAAAUCGGAGGAAGGUAAGGACGACGUCAAGUCAUCAUGCCCCUUACACUCUGGGCUACACACGUACUACAAUGCUACGGACAAAGGGCUGCAAGUUCGCGAGGACAAGCA
Molecule: ribosomal RNA, 351 nt
Filed under: uncultured bacterium
Lineage: Bacteria
Description: bacterial SSU rRNA
Rfam family: Bacterial small subunit ribosomal RNA
Source: RNAcentral